Molecule: ribosomal RNA, 437 nt
Filed under: uncultured bacterium
Lineage: Bacteria
Description: bacterial SSU rRNA
Rfam family: Bacterial small subunit ribosomal RNA
Source: RNAcentral
CAGGCCUAACACAUGCAAGUCGAACGAGAUCUUUCGGGGUCUAGUGGCGCACGGGUGCGUAACGCGUGGGAAUCUGCCCUUGGGUUCGGAAUAACAGCGAGAAAUUGCUGCUAAUACCGGAUAAUGACGUAAGUCCAAAGAUUUAUCGCCCAGGGAUGAGCCCGCGUAGGAUUAGCUAGUUGGUGGGGUAAAGGCCUACCAAGGCGACGAUCCUUAGCUGGUCUGAGAGGAUGAUCAGCCACACUGGGACUGAGACACGGCCCAGACUCCUACGGGAGGCAGCAGUGGGGAAUAUUGGACAAUGGGCGAAAGCCUGAUCCAGCAAUGCCGCGUGAGUGAUGAAGGCCCUAGGGUUGUAAAGCUCUUUUACCCGGGAUGAUAAUGACAGUAUCGGGAGAAUAAGCUCCGUCUAACUCCGUGCCAGCAGCCGCGGUAAU